RNAcentral lists this long non-coding RNA (2320 nucleotides) under Vitis vinifera (wine grape). Its description in RNAcentral is "long non-coding RNA (VVIN_LNC007768)". Lineage: Eukaryota; Viridiplantae; Streptophyta; Magnoliopsida; Vitales; Vitaceae. The record is from RNAcentral.
GAAUAAUUAUUUUGGGCUCUGCAUAUUUCUGGAUAUUUACAUCUGAGCUCAUUUUUGUUUUGCAUGGAUUGCACGGAUUUGUGACAUAUGGAGAACCAAAUUUCAUGGAAGAAAAUGAGGUUUACGAAAGUUGUAAAUGGGGCAUUGAGCUUGUUGUAGGCUUGUCUAGGUACAUAUUUUAUUUUCUUAUUUCUAUUUAACUUAAUUUCUAUUAGUUCAUGUAAAUAUUUUUAUGUAUAUAGGUGCAUGCAGAAUUGAAUAGUUGAUAACUUAAAAUUUUUGUUUUAAUAAAAGGAAUAGUUAGCAAUUACAUUUUAAUAAAAACAAUAGUUUAGAAAAUAUUAUUUUUAAUAAAAGAAAGUUUUUUUUUUCUAUGAAAUUUCAAAAAAAUGUUUUUAGGAAAAUCCAGAAAAUUAUUUUUAAUAAAAUUCAAAAAAUUGUUUUUACCAACUAUUGUUUGGAAAUUUAUUUGUUUAAUAAAAUUUGUCUAAAAAAUUGUUUUGUAAAUAAAAAUUGUCCCAAAAAGUGAUUUUUAAAUAAAUUAUGUUUCCUUAGUUAGAAUUAGAAUGAGAUUAAAAGUAUUUUUUAUAAAUAGAGAUUUUAAAUAUUUUUUUUUUAUGAGAUUAGGAUGAGAGUCUUUUGCAAAUUGAAGUUGUAGAAAUCAUUUUUCUUGAUAAAGUUGGGUUGAAAAUAUUUUUGUAAAUAAAAUUUGUAAAGAAAUUAAUUCCUUUGUAAAUAAAAUCAAAUUAAAAUACUUUUGCAAAUAAAGUUUUAAAAUUUUAUUCUUUUUAUGGUAAAAGUAAAAUCUUUUUAUUGCAAAAUUGAAAAUUUUGUAAUAAAUUUUUUUUAUACUUUUUUUAAAAAUUGAACACAAAUAAAAUUGAAUUAAACCAUUUAUUGGAAAUGAAUUGAAACAUUUUUAUAAAUAAAUAAAUUCAAGCCAUUCAUUUGAAAUUGUUUUUAAUUUAAAAUAUUCUUUUUUUUAAUUAUAUUAAUAAAUCAAUUUGAUUAAUUAUCUUGUCAUUUACCUUGUAUACUAUUAUAAUUUACUUUUAUGAUUAUUUUUUUGUACAUUGAUUUGUAUUCUUAAUCUUGGUAUUCAUGAUUAAUUAAUUAUUAUAAUUCUCUCAAUUCACUUACUAAAAAUCGUAGGUAUACGAGCCAUAAUUAAUUAAUUAAUUAUCAUAAUUCCCUCAAUUCGCUUACUAGAAAUCAAAUAGGUAAGUAACCCUCAAAUUUUAGAUUUAGUUUUUGUAAAUAUGUCUUUUUCCAAAAAAUGAGUAGAGUUUUUUUUUCUCAUUUUGUUUUUCCUUUUAAAAAUAAAUUAAAAUAAGCAGCAACUUUAAUUUUUUUUUAAAAAAUCAAUUUUUCACAAAUAAAAAAAGAAUCUUUUGAAAAAAAAAAUAUGAUUUUGUUUUUAAAUAAUUUUAAAAUUUAAUUGAAAUUAUCUAUUCAAAAGAUAAUUUUCAAUUCAAUUCCUUAAUAAUGCAAUGGAUUUGCGAAUAGUUUCAAAAGUAUUAUAUUUUAAUAAAUAUUUUUAAAAUGCUUUUAUUUUUUUUUCAAAGCCCCUUGAAAAAAAGUUCCUUUUCAAAAGUGGCUGUUUGCCUUGAUUUUUGAUAAAUUAAAAGAAUCAUUUGUAAAAAAUUGAUAGUUUAAUUAUUGAUAAAAUUAUGACAUUUUGUAUCACAUAAGUUUAAAAAAAAAAGAAAAAAAAGGUCAUAUAGCUCUUUGUCUUAAAAUCAUGUUUUCAAGACACAAUUUUAAUAUAUCAUUAUGAAGUAAUGUAUUGAAAAUGGAUGAUAAUGAAACAAAUUAUUUAAGGUAUCCGCUCUACCUUACCCUUAAUGAAAUGAAUUUAAAAUUAAAAUAAAUAGGUUAAGAGUAGGUUUGAGAUUCGAGGCAUUACCUUAUCCCUCUAUUCCCUGAUUAUAUAUAGCUAAUUUUAAAAAAUAAUUUAAUUUAAUUUUUUAUGUUCCAAUUUUUAACACAAAUUAUUUUUCAAUAACACAAGCUAUAAAAAAAUUAUAAUAUUUUAUUUAUUUAUAAUAUAUAUUUUUAAUUAAAAAAAAGAAGAAGUUAAAAUUAAUUGUUUAAAAAAAUUGAAAAUUAAAAGAAAUUACACGGCGUGGAACCCGCCUCACCUUGUUUAAAUGUUUUUAUUAGAGUGGGAAUGAUAAUUACUUGGGACCCAACCCGUCCCAAAGCCUCGAAGACAUGAUUUCAUUACAUUAUUAAUAAAGUAUUAUGAAGUUGUGAUGAAGACAUAAUUUUAGUAUUUUAUCAAGAAGUUGUGUAUUAAAGACACCUUUUUAGUUUUUUU